RNAcentral lists this ribosomal RNA (109 nucleotides) under Thermoanaerobacterium sp. CMT5567-10. The record is from RNAcentral. Lineage: Bacteria; Bacillati; Bacillota; Clostridia; Thermoanaerobacterales; Thermoanaerobacteraceae.
UCCGGUGGCAAUAGCGGAGGUUAAAAACCCGUUCCCAUACCGAACACGGAAGUGAAGCCCUCCAGCGCCGAUGGUACUGAUAACUCGGGAGAGUAGGUCGCUGCCGGUA